ACGGGAGGCAGCAGUGGGGAAUAUUGGACAAUGGGGGAAACCCUGAUCCAGCGACGCCGCGUGAGUGAAGAAGUAUUUCGGUAUGUAAAGCUCUAUCAGCAGGGAAGAAAAUGACGGUACCUGACUAAGAGGCCCCGGCUAACUACGUGCCAGCAGCCGCGGUAAUACGUAGGGGGCAAGCGUUAUCCGGAUUUACUGGGUGUAAAGGGAGCGUAGACGGCAAGGCAAGUCUGAAGUGAAAGCUCGGGGCUCAACCCCGGAACUGCUUUGGAAACUGUCAUGCUAGAGUGCAGGAGAGGUAAGUGGAAUUCCUAGUGUAGCGGUGAAAUGCGUAGAUAUUAGGAGGAACACCAGUGGCGAAGGCGGCUUACUGGACUGUAACUGACGUUGAGGCUCGAAAGCGUGGGGAGCAAACAGGAUUAGAUACCCUGGUA
RNAcentral lists this ribosomal RNA (434 nucleotides) under uncultured Clostridium sp. RNAcentral's name for it is "partial 16S ribosomal RNA". It matches the Rfam family "Bacterial small subunit ribosomal RNA", at positions 341 to 792 of the family's 1533-position model. Lineage: Bacteria; Bacillati; Bacillota; Clostridia; Eubacteriales; Clostridiaceae. The record is from RNAcentral.